Phascolarctos cinereus (koala) is the source of this 328-nucleotide long non-coding RNA. RefSeq lists it as uncharacterized. Lineage: Eukaryota; Metazoa; Chordata; Mammalia; Diprotodontia; Phascolarctidae. The record is from RefSeq and is a predicted model, not a curated record.
CUGAAGCGUAGAACGUCAGCACGCUGAGUUAGCGCAGAAGAGGCGGGUGGGGAGGGGGCGAUUCUACAGUCCGGGAAGAGCCGAGGGAGUGGUCCCUGCCUGGGGGAAUCGGCGCCCAGCUUUCCUUUUAGCCAUGUGGCUCAUGCACCAGUCAAGAUUGUAGUUGAAAUGCUGUUUAGAAUAUAAUAAAGGAAAGGAAAGGAACAGUAAAUCAACCAUAUAUGUAUGAAGGAUUGGUCUUAUACCCAAGUGGAGAAGAAACAUAAGUGUUUAAUUGCAGCAAUAAAGACAAAAGCCAUUUAAUAAUAUUUCUCUACCAUCACUGCUG